This 500-nucleotide ribosomal RNA is filed under the name Natrinema altunense. Its description in RNAcentral is "bacterial SSU rRNA". It matches the Rfam family "Archaeal small subunit ribosomal RNA", at positions 44 to 545 of the family's 1478-position model. Lineage: Archaea; Methanobacteriati; Methanobacteriota; Halobacteria; Halobacteriales; Natrialbaceae. The record is from RNAcentral.
UUUAGCCAUGCUAGUUGCACGAGUUUAGACUCGUAGCAGAUAGCUCAGUAACACGUGGCCAAACUACCCUAUGGAUCCGAAUAACCUCGGGAAACUGAGGCUAAUAUGGAAUAGCGUUCAUCGCCUGGAGUGGCACGAACGCGAAACGUUACGGCGCCAUAGGAUGUGGCUGCGGCCGAUUAGGUAGACGGUGGGGUAACGGCCCACCGUGCCCAUAAUCGGUACGGGUUGUGAGAGCAAGAGCCCGGAGACGGUAUCUGAGACAAGAUACCGGGCCCUACGGGGCGCAGCAGGCGCGAAACCUUUACACUGCACGCGAGUGCGAUAAGGGGACUCCGAGUGCGAGGGCAUAUAGUCCUCGCUUUUCACGACCGUAAGGUGGUCGUAAAAUAAUUGCUGGGCAAGACCGGUGCCAGCCGCCGCGGUAAUACCGGCACCACAAUUGAUGACCGCUAUUAUUGGGGCUAAAACGUCCGUACCUGGCCCCCCUCUCUAUCGGG